Molecule: ribosomal RNA, 439 nt
Filed under: uncultured bacterium
Lineage: Bacteria
Description: partial 16S ribosomal RNA
Rfam family: Bacterial small subunit ribosomal RNA
Source: RNAcentral
CUACGGGCGGCAGCAGUGAGGAAUAUUGCACAAUGGGGGGAACCCUGAUGCAGCAACGCCGCGUGGAGGAUGACGCAUUUCGGUGUGUAAACUCCUUUUAUAUGUCAAGAAAAUGACGGUAGCAUAUGAAUAAGCACCGGCUAACUCCGUGCCAGCAGCCGCGGUAAUACGGAGGGUGCAAGCGUUACUCGGAAUCACUGGGCGUAAAGGAAACGUAGGCGGGUUGGAAAGUCAGGUGUGAAAUCCUACAGCUUAACUGUAGAACUGCACUUGAAACUUCUAAUCUAGAGUAUGGGAGGGGGAGAUGGAAUUAGUGGUGUAGGGGUAAAAUCCGUAGAUAUCACUAGGAAUACCUAAAGCGAAGGCGAUCUCCUGGAACAUUACUGACGCUAAGGCGUGAAAGCGUGGGGAGCAAACAGGAUUAGAUACCCUAGUAGUC